UUUUUUUAAGUUUUUCCUUCAAUUUUCUAUUUUCUUGAUUCCUUUAUCCUGGGUGUUGAAAGAAACUUCGUCAACCUCUUCCGCGUUCGUGCUCGUAGGAGGAGGAAUUCCGGUCGUACCUUGGGGCGGUGUUUCCGGUUAAUCCCGCACGUAAGGACGGAAAUACGCCUUAGGGCAGUGCUUCGCACGCUUCCGGAUCAAUAAAGUAUUUAUUUGGAUUUAGCGAUAAUCUGUAAGAUGAUUUAUUUAUUUUCAUCAUAAAAUUUAGUUAGAUUUAAAUCAUAAUCAGAUUUCUGUGCGGUAAUUGUUCCAACAAUCUAAGGCGUAUUUCUUGAUUUGAUUGUGAUUGAAAUCUAACGGGUGCUAAUCCGUAUUAUAUUAAUUUUAAUUUUAUAUGUAUAUAAUUUGUUUGUUAAUGUUUGUAUGAUUGGCAAUCAAACAUAAAUUUUUCGGAGAUUAGCACUUUAACAUGUAAUUGUAUAUUAUUUAAUUUACUGUUGAAAUUAUAAUUUAUUUGGUGAUUAUUAAAAAAAAAAUUUGCUAAAGUAAAAAUAAUUUUAUUAGCGUGCGAUUUUAGAGUUUUG
Molecule: long non-coding RNA, 584 nt
Filed under: Ananas comosus (pineapple)
Lineage: Eukaryota; Viridiplantae; Streptophyta; Magnoliopsida; Poales; Bromeliaceae
Description: long non-coding RNA (ACOM_LNC012084)
Source: RNAcentral